GACGAACGCUGGCGGCGUGCCUAAUACAUGCAAGUCGAACGCACUCUCGUUUAGAUUGAAGGAGCUUGCUCCUGAUUGAUAAACAUUUGAGUGAGUGGCGGACGGGUGAGUAACACGUGGGUAACCUGCCCUAAAGUGGGGGGUAACAUUUGGAAACAGGUGCUAAUACCGCAUAAAACCUAACACCGCAAUGGUGUAGGGUUGAAAAGAUGGUUUCGGCUAUCACUUUAGGAUGGACCCGCGGUGCAUUAGUUAGUUGGUGAGGGUAAAGGCUCACCAAGACCGUGAUGCAUAGCCGACCUGAGAGGGUAAUCGGCCACACUGGGACUGAGACACGGCCCAGACUCCUACGGGAGGCAGCAGUAGGGAAUCUUCCC
RNAcentral lists this ribosomal RNA (377 nucleotides) under uncultured bacterium. RNAcentral describes it as "bacterial SSU rRNA". It matches the Rfam family "Bacterial small subunit ribosomal RNA", at positions 28 to 368 of the family's 1533-position model. The record is from RNAcentral.